This 598-nucleotide long non-coding RNA is filed under the name Olea europaea subsp. europaea. Lineage: Eukaryota; Viridiplantae; Streptophyta; Magnoliopsida; Lamiales; Oleaceae. The record is from RNAcentral.
GGAAAACAACGAGAGGAGGGGGGCAUGGACCUGACCUCCAGCGAAUGUAAAUUGUAACAAAUAUCUGAAGAUAAAAUGCAAUCACAGUAAACAAGAUACGAACAAAAACUAAUGAAAGGUGCUUAAGGGUAUUCCCGAGGGUAAAUCUUCGGGUGGUAGUACAUAGACAUUGAUCGGGUCAUGCGUCUGGUUUGAAACAUUUCCGGAUCAUAGUAGUCUGAGAUGUUUGGCUCGCUCGUUGGAGAGGGGUCUCGCCUGCGUGUAGGAGCCUGCUUUGGUGAUAAGUACUGUUCGGAUGGUGGUGCACUGAAUGUCGGGCGAAAAGCGGGUGCAUCUGAUCUCAUUGUACUAGUCGUAGGUGUGUCUAAUCUCAUGGUGUUCUGUGCUACGACAUCUGAAUCGUGGGAGAUUGACUUGCUUGCUGUAGGGACAUCGUCCUCUGCAUUUUUCAUGCAGUUUCCAAGGCCCAUGCCAUCCAUGUCUCUCUGUAUAUGUUCUUUCACCUUAUUGUGUGUAGGAGCUGUGAUAGAAGGACCAGGUGAAGGUGUAUGCGUAGGAGUCUUACUUAUAGAAGGUCCCUCUCCAAAGAGCUUAAAAA